This 307-nucleotide unclassified non-coding RNA is filed under the name plant metagenome. RNAcentral describes it as "partial contains 5.8S ribosomal RNA, internal transcribed spacer 2, and large subunit ribosomal RNA". The stretch from base 1 to 105 matches the Rfam family "5.8S ribosomal RNA", at positions 50 to 154 of the family's 154-position model. The record is from RNAcentral.
GAAAUGCGAUAAGUAGUGUGAAUUGCAGAAUUCAGUGAAUCAUCGAAUCUUCGAACGCACAUUGCGCCCCUCGGUAUUCCGUGGGGCAUGCCUGUUCGAGCGUCAUCUACACCCUCAAGCUCUGCUUGGUGUUGGGCGUCUGUCCCGCCUCCGCGCGCGGACUCGCCCCAAAUGCAUUGGCAGCGGUUCCUUGCCCCCCUCUUUGCGCAGCACAUUGCCAUUCGAGGCGGCGGCGGCCCGCGUCCAACAAGCUCAACCCCCCCGUCUUUGACCUCGGAUCAGGUAGGGAUACCCGCUGAACUUAAGC